This 408-nucleotide ribosomal RNA is filed under the name uncultured eukaryote. RNAcentral's name for it is "eukaryotic LSU rRNA". It matches the Rfam family "Eukaryotic large subunit ribosomal RNA", at positions 17 to 412 of the family's 3401-position model. The record is from RNAcentral.
GAGAAUACCGGCUGAACUUAAGCAUAUCACUAAGCCGAGGAAAAGAAACUAACAAGGAUACCCUAAGUAACGGCGAGUGAACCGGGUAAUGCUCAAUCUUAAAAUCUGUGUCUCUCAUGAGGCAUCGAAUUGUAGUUUUUGAUAAUCAUCCCCUCUUCUUUUAAUUUAAUUAAAGUCUCUUGGAAUAGAGUGUCAUAGAAGGUGAGAACCCUGUGAAUAGUUAUAUUAAAAGGAGGAUAUUGAGUUUGGUUAUCAUAGAGUCGGGUUGUUUGGGAAUGCAGCCUAAAAAGGGUGGUAAAUCUCAUCUAAAGCUAAAUAUUUGGUAAGAGACCGAUAGAAAACAAGUACCGUGAGGGAAAGAUGAAAAGAACUUUGAAAAGAGAGUUAAAAGUACUUGAAAUUGUUAAC